RNAcentral lists this ribosomal RNA (463 nucleotides) under uncultured bacterium. Its description in RNAcentral is "bacterial SSU rRNA". It matches the Rfam family "Bacterial small subunit ribosomal RNA", at positions 791 to 1253 of the family's 1533-position model. The record is from RNAcentral.
UAGUCCACACCGUAAACGAUGAAUGCCAGUCGUCGGGUAGUAUACUAUUCGGUGACACACCUAACGGAUUAAGCAUUCCGCCUGGGGAGUACGGUCGCAAGAUUAAAACUCAAAGGAAUUGACGGGGCCCGCACAAGCGGUGGAGCAUGUGGUUUAAUUCGAUGCAACGCGAAGAACCUUACCAGGUCUUGACAUACAGCGAACUUUCCAGAGAUGGAUUGGUGCCUUCGGGAACGCUGAUACAGGUGCUGCAUGGCUGUCGUCAGCUCGUGUCGUGAGAUGUUGGGUUAAAUCCCGCAACGAGCGCAACCCCUGUCUUUAGUUGCCAGCGAGUAAUGUCGGGGACUCUAAAGAUACUGCCUGCGCAAGCAGUGAGGAAGGAGGGGACGACGUCAAAUCAUCAUGGGCCUUUAUGCCCAGGGGCUACACACGUGCUACAAUGGCGGGGACAAAGGGUUGCGAC